Non-coding RNA from Dermacentor andersoni, 883 nucleotides. Lineage: Eukaryota; Metazoa; Arthropoda; Arachnida; Ixodida; Ixodidae. The record is from RefSeq and is a predicted model, not a curated record.
UCCAACAAAGAAGCUAUCAGAAGAAGUCGAGAAUCAGAACACGGAUAAACGUCCAUGUACCGUGCAUUGGGUGUGCCUGGAGGAACCCUCGGGGCUUCGACAUUAAUGUGCAUAGUGUACGCAUGCGCCAGCACCCUGACCUCAUGGUCCUUCCUGUGUACGGAGAGGAGAUUCAGGAAGUCGGCCUGCGCUGUCAAGACAAGAAGGGCAGAGUGGCAACCAGGCAGCUGACGCCGACAAUUUUUUUGCUUGGCCAGCUGGUAUCAAUGCCGUGAGACAUCUAGCCCGCUAAUAAAAUAAUGCAACAUAUAACCAACGCCAACGUAAGUUCAGCGGAUCUAAGAGUGAUACGCAGUGUUCUAGGUUUGCAUAGCUAUUUAUCAAAGGGAAAAAAAGAAGAGAAACAUCGAAUAUAAGAAACGAAAACUGCCGAGGAGGCUGAAAAUGAACUGCUGCUUUUUCUGUGAGCUAGAGUUAGGCCCAAGCAACUGGCCAUUGCACGAUGAAAAAGAAAAACAAGGCAGCUCUCAAAGGGCACAGUGAGAGCUGCAGAAAGCUUGAAUUAAAGCAAACACUUUCGCAAGACGACGGGAUCAGAAAGAAUUUUCCCGCGUUAACUCAGCGACGUGGGAUCAGGCGGACAAGGAGAAACGCAGCGGUCAGCCGAAUUUCUUCUCACGCAGAAGAAUGCAUGGUGGCACACGCCUAUAUUUUCCCCUGCCAUGGCCGUGCGCUGAUUACAGUGACCCGCCUGAAUAAGAAAAAGGGACGCAACGUACCUCAGAGACAUCCUCUCAUGGCUUCAAAAGAAAAACAUGAGAAAAGAAUGUUUUGAGACGGAUUUCCCACAGGAGAUCGGCAACACAAAGACUAAGGAUUGCAA